AAAGCUCGUUUGGUUGCUCAAGUUUAUAAACAACUGUAGGGCAUUGACUUUGAUAAGACUCUCCUAUAGUCAAGCCCACUACCAUUCGCAUCAUCAUAUCUGUAACUCUUUUCUAUGGUCGGAACCUUCAAUAACUAGAUGUGCAAAAAUCCUUUCUUCAUGGUCUUCUUUCUAAGGAGGUUUACAUAAAGGGAACCACCAGAAUUUGUUCAUCCAUCAUUUCCAAAUCAAGUGUGUCGGUUGAAGAAGGUUCUCUACAGGCUCAAACAAGCACCAUAAGCAGAAUCCAAAGAAUCGGUUUCGGGGCGAGUACUAAAUUUUCAGAAAUCACAACAAGUUACGGAUUCUCAACAAUUGGUAUCAAAACCAAGUUGCGGAUUCUCAACAAUUGGUAUCGAAGAUCAAGGUUUCCGAUCAGCACAAAGAUUGACAUCAGAGCACAGGGUUACAGAUCUCGGGAGAGAUCGAUGUCAGAGAACAAGUUUACCGAUUCUCGCAAGAGAGCAACAUUAGAGAAUGGUGUUACCGAUCGCUAGCAGCGACUGAUAUUAGAGCGCAAUUUGAUCUUGUUAAGCGCAUUGGACUCAAAAGGAUUGUGAGUUUUUCAACUUUAGGUGGAACUAUGAGGAUUUAGGGUUACAAAAGGAGUUUGCUGUGAUGGAUUUGGGUCCAUUUUAUUAUUUUAUAAGGGUUGAGGUCACAUAAUCUAUUUCAGAUCUAUAUCUAACUCAACAAAAAUAUGCUAAACAGUUGUUGGACCAUCAUGGUCUCUUUUUUAGCAAGUCACUUGCUAGUCCUUUUUCCUCUAACACUCAUUAGCCUGUUCAUGAGGGAACCUUGCCGGAUGACCUCUAUGUUUAUCAUCAAAUGAUUAGUGCUCUUUGGUAUCCAAUCUUCACUGGACCAAAUAUUUCUUAUUUUGUUAA
This is a long non-coding RNA of Ananas comosus (pineapple), 926 nucleotides long. RefSeq lists it as uncharacterized. The record is from RefSeq and is a predicted model, not a curated record. NCBI's taxonomy places the organism in Eukaryota, Viridiplantae, Streptophyta, Magnoliopsida, Poales, Bromeliaceae. The transcript is spliced from 2 exons.